CAUGCAAGUCGAACGGCAGCGCGGGGCAACCUGGCGGCGAGUGGCGAACGGGUGAGUAAUAUAUCGGAACGUACCCAAGAGUGGGGGAUAACGUAGCGAAAGUUACGCUAAUACCGCAUACGAUCUAAGGAUGAAAGCAGGGGAUCUUCGGACCUUGUGCUCCUGGAGCGGCCGAUAUCUGAUUAGCUAGUUGGUGAGGUAAAGGCUCACCAAGGCUACGAUCAGUAGCUGGUCUGAGAGGACGACCAGCCACACUGGAACUGAGACACGGUCCAGACUCCUACGGGAGGCAGCAGUGGGGAAUUUUGGACAAUGGGCGAAAGCCUGAUCCAGCAAUGCCGCGUGAGUGAAGAAGGCCUUCGGGUUGUAAAGCUCUUUUGUCAGGGAAGAAACGGUGAGGGCUAAUAUCCCUCGCUAAUGACGGUACCUGAAGAAUAAGCACCGGCUAACUACGUGCCAGCAGCCGCGGUAAUACGUAGGGUGCAAGCGUUAAUCGGAAUUACUGGGCGUAAAGCGUGCGCAGGCGGUUUUGUAAGUCUGACGUGAAAUCCCCGGGCUCAACCUGGGAAUUGCGUUGGAGACUGCAAGGCUAGAAUCUGGCAGAGGGGGGUAGAAUUCCACGUGUAGCAGUGAAAUGCGUAGAGAUGUGGAGGAACACCGAUGGCGAAGGCAGCCCCCUGGGUCAAGAUUGACGCUCAUGCACGAAAGCGUGGGGAGCAAACAGGAUUAGAUACCCUGGUAGUCCACGCCCUAAACGAUGUCUACUACUUGUCGGGUUG
Molecule: ribosomal RNA, 779 nt
Filed under: Massilia sp.
Lineage: Bacteria; Pseudomonadati; Pseudomonadota; Betaproteobacteria; Burkholderiales; Oxalobacteraceae
Description: bacterial SSU rRNA
Rfam family: Bacterial small subunit ribosomal RNA
Source: RNAcentral